AAUGAGUUGAAUUUAGUUUUGUCCACAGGACAAAGAGAAUGGAAAGAUGAUAGAGUGAGGAAGGGCAUCAUAGGCACAGGUGAUGGUGUGAGAGCACGCAAGGAGGUAUAUGACAGUCCAUCCGCAGGCUCCAUCUCCUCUUCUUUCAGCUGCUCCAUCUAUGACAUGACAUAUAACCUAGUUGUUAAAAGUGUCUUUUGGAGUCAGGCCGCUUGGGUUCAUAACCCAACUGUUUCAUGCAUUAAGCUGUUUGAUUUUUGGAAGAUUGCCUAACCUUUCUCUGAUAUAGUUUUCUGGUCAGUAAAAUGAGAAUAGUAAUAUUACCUACUUUAUAGGGUUGUUGUGAAAAUUAAACAAAUUAAUUUACAUAAAGCAAUUAGAACAGUGUCUGCCAUGUAGUGAGUGGAAUUGGUUGGGUGUGCUUUGAACACCAUGGCAGUUAUGAAUGGCAGGUUAUAGAUGCUACAGGAAUUUCAGAAGCAAGUUCUCUGGAUGCAAGUUCUCUGAAUGCUGACUGAAUGCAUAAGGUGAGAGAGGAAGAAGUACUGAAAUUCUGGUGACCAUCUCUGUCCCAGAAGGACAGUGCCUUUGGUGCAAUUUGGUGUCCAUUUAGGGGUGGGCUGAGGGGGCAGCUCAGCAUAGGUGACCUGCCCAGUCAAUCCCUGUUCCCCAAGAGCCUUUACUGAGAGUGCAUUAGCACAGGCUCAGGAGCAAGUUGUUCCUUAGUUGGCAGUUGGAGUUUCUGGCACAAAGAGUGUGGAUUCCAGAAGAAGCCACAGGGAGCUGGAGGCUCUAAGGGUUGGCUUGGCAUGUCUUUGAAGUUAAAGCCUCUGGGCAUCUGUGUGCUUAGGCAAAGGCCAGAGGCCACAGAGCUGAGCGAGGUCACCACUAUCCCCAGCAUGGGGACAGCAUGCCCUUCAAGCCCAGGGACCAGCCUGCAGUCCUGGAUUAGAUCACUCAGAAAUCACAGACCUCAGGAAUCAAGUUUAAUAAUACUACAAAUAUUAAGUGAUACAAAAAGAAAACUCGACAGGAAGAAGAUGAUUGAAAUAAUAGCCGCCAUUUAUGAAAUAUUUAAUUAUAUCCCAGGUACUGUGCUAGGCUCUUUACACGCAUUAACUCAUUUACUACUCACAUCUCUCUCUUAAGUGGUACUUUUAUGUUUAUUUCACGUUACAGGUAAAGACACAGAGACAAAGAAAGAUAUAGCAACCUGCCCAAGGUUUUACACAUAGCAAGUGGCAGAAAUGGGGUUUGAUUCCUGACUCAUCAUACCCAAGAGCAGUACUGUUCAAUACAACUUUCUGCGAUGAUGAAAAUUCUCUACCUGUUGUUGGAUAUGGUAGCCUCUAGCCACAUGGAGUUAUU
This 1368-nucleotide long non-coding RNA is filed under the name Macaca mulatta (Rhesus monkey). Its description in RNAcentral is "lncRNA (ENSMMUG00000049899.1)". The record is from RNAcentral. Lineage: Eukaryota; Metazoa; Chordata; Mammalia; Primates; Cercopithecidae.